Molecule: ribosomal RNA, 264 nt
Filed under: uncultured bacterium
Lineage: Bacteria
Description: partial 16S ribosomal RNA
Rfam family: Bacterial small subunit ribosomal RNA
Source: RNAcentral
GUCCACGCCCUAAACGAUGGAUACUAGGUGUGGGGGUAUUGACCCCCUCCGUGCCGAAGCCAACGCGUUAAGUAUCCCGCCUGGGGACUACGGCCGCAAGGUUAAAACUCAAAGGAAUUGACGGGGGCCCGCACAAGCAGCGGAGCGUGUGGUUCAAUUCGAUGCGACACGAAGAACCUUACCCAGGCUUGACAUGUAUGUGGUAGCGAAGCGAAAGCGGAGCGACCCGCAAGGGAGCAUACACAGGUGUUGCAUGGCUGUCGU